AGAGACAGCAGUCGCCGCGGUAAAACGUAGGUGGCAAGCGUUGUCCGGAAUUAUUGGGCGUAAAGCGCGCGCAGGCGGAUCAGUCAGUCUGUCUUAAAAGUUCGGGGCUUAACCCCGUGAUGGGAUGGAAACUGCCAAUCUAGAGUAUCGGAGAGGAAAGUGGAAUUCCUAGUGUAGCGGUGAAAUGCGUAGAUAUUAGGAAGAACACCAGUGGCGAAGGCGACUUUCUGGACGAAAACUGACGCUGAGGCGCGAAAGCCAGGGGAGCGAACGGGAUUAGAUACCCGGGUAGUCCCUGUCUCUUAUACA
RNAcentral lists this ribosomal RNA (309 nucleotides) under uncultured bacterium. RNAcentral's name for it is "partial 16S ribosomal RNA". It matches the Rfam family "Bacterial small subunit ribosomal RNA", at positions 504 to 809 of the family's 1533-position model. The record is from RNAcentral.